AUUAAUAAAGGAACUCGGCAAAAAAAUAGAGCAAAGACUGUUUAMCAAAAACAUAGCUUCUAGAACUAAUUAGAAGUAAAAUCCUGCCCGGUGAAAAAAAUUUUAAACGGCCACAAUCGUGCUAAGGUAGCGUAAUCAAUUGUCCUUUUACUGAGGACCAGUAUGAAAGGAAAAACGAAGCUCAACUGUCUCUAUUAAUAAAAUAAGAAAUUAGUUUCCAGGUGAAAAAACCUGGAUAAAAUUAAAGGACGAAAAGACCCUAUAGAGUUUAAAUAUAAUUAUAUUAAUACCUUUAAAAUAAAGCUAUAAUAUAAAUAUUUUAAUUGGGGCAACAUAGGAACAAAAAAUUUCCUAUAAAAAAUAUUUAACAUCUUAAAAACAAAAAUCCUCAAAGAGAUAAAGAAAAACUACCUUAGGGAUAACAGCGUAAUUUUUCUAAAGAGACCUAAUCGAAAGAAAAGUUUGCGACCUCGAUGUUGGACUAAGGCAACAUAAUGGUGAAGAAACUAUUAAAAGUGGGCCUGUUCGGCCCAAUAAGCCUUACAUGAU
Molecule: ribosomal RNA, 549 nt
Filed under: Amathia semiconvoluta
Lineage: Eukaryota; Metazoa; Bryozoa; Gymnolaemata; Ctenostomatida; Vesiculariidae
Description: partial 16S ribosomal RNA
Rfam family: Bacterial large subunit ribosomal RNA
Source: RNAcentral